Molecule: unclassified non-coding RNA, 258 nt
Filed under: Hevea brasiliensis (rubber tree)
Lineage: Eukaryota; Viridiplantae; Streptophyta; Magnoliopsida; Malpighiales; Euphorbiaceae
Source: RNAcentral
GGAUAAAUCAGGAGGAUGCAUACCAGCCAUUAGCUUCUCAAAUCCGCUUCCUGUUGAUAACAUUUUAAGGCCUCAGACUGCUUCUGUUGGAUUGCUCAGAAGCAAGUAUCUUUCAGAGCCUUAUUCUUUUGCAGGCAACUCAGGACAAUCACUGGGGACCAGGACCAUGCAGCAAGCAAAUGGAAGUGUUCCCGUUUUAUAGGAGUCUUCGUGGUGGGAGUUUUGGUUAACUAAUGGUGUAUUUAGUACAAUACACGA